This 468-nucleotide ribosomal RNA is filed under the name uncultured bacterium. RNAcentral's name for it is "partial 16S ribosomal RNA". It matches the Rfam family "Bacterial small subunit ribosomal RNA", at positions 33 to 507 of the family's 1533-position model. The record is from RNAcentral.
GGGGGGGGGGGGGGGGGGGGUGGGGGGGGGCGGGGGGGACGGGAGGGGCCUGCUUGUGUGGGGUGCUGGGGUGGCGAACGGGUGAGUAACCCGUGAGUCACCUGCCGUUGACUUUGGGCUUACUUCAGGAAGCUGGGGCUGAUACCGGCUCGGCGGUCCUGCUGCAUGGUGGGGGUUGGAACGUUUCGGCGGUUGGGGAUGGACUCGCGGCUUAUCAGCUUGUUGGUGGGGUAGUGGAUUACCAAGGCUUUGACGGGUAGCCGGCCUGAUCGGGUGACCGGCCACAUGGGGACGGAGAUACGGCCAAGACUCCUACGGGAGGCAGCAGUGGGGAAUAGUGCACAAGGGGCGGAAGCCUGAUGCAGCAACGCCGCGUGCGGGAUGACGGCCUUCGGGUUGUAAACCGCUUUCGCCUGUGACGAAGCGUGAGUGACGGCAAUGGGUGAAGAAGCACCGGCUAACUACGUG